This 526-nucleotide long non-coding RNA is filed under the name Carica papaya (papaya). RNAcentral's name for it is "long non-coding RNA (CPAP_LNC008427)". Lineage: Eukaryota; Viridiplantae; Streptophyta; Magnoliopsida; Brassicales; Caricaceae. The record is from RNAcentral.
UUCCCGUUCUUUAUAUUUCUCCAUCUUUAGCUAUCUGAACCGUUCUCGAUGCAGGAUAAUCAAGAGAAGCCACAAACUGCGAGAGAGGGAUAGCAAAGCUUAGCUAAGCCGCCGCACCAAAGAGCAAAAAUCGCCAGUAAGGCUAAAUGUUUCCCCUCCCUUCUCCGCAAAACACCUCCUUUUCACGAUUUAAACUAAUUUCCACCAGGAAUUGGCCAAAAAUGGUUUGGUCGAGAGGGAGAAAUGCUGAAGAAGGAGAACCAGGCGGUGGAACUCGAUGAUGACGCCGCACCAGAACCCAACCUGACCCCUGGUGAGUUUUUUUGUCUUUUCACUAUGCUCUACGUAUUUUCACGCUGUUUUGAUGGGCAUUUUUAAAUUUUACCAAGAAACCCAAGAAAUUCAAGAACUGAGGACUGUCACAAACCGUAGUGAAAAAUGUGGUGUUAUGGACUCCGACCAAAGUAAGAAUCUUUCAACAUUUUCCCUGUUAUAGUAAAUUAAAGUUAAAUCGAUAACAAACGGU